RNAcentral lists this non-coding RNA (29 nucleotides) under Mus musculus (house mouse). The record is from RNAcentral. Lineage: Eukaryota; Metazoa; Chordata; Mammalia; Rodentia; Muridae.
UCCUGAUUUGUCAGGUAGGGUGCUUAGGA